AGUCUAACGAUGACCUGGUAAGUACUUUUUAAUUAUCUUCAACAGAGAACCUUGGUAGCUGAAAAAAGGUAAGAUAAGAAAAUUGGAAAAUGGCCAGCGAGUUACUUAUCCCGAGCAACUUAGUUAGUUGUGAGGCGGUAACGGUCGCAACCGUUAAUGUGCUAGAGUAUGAUGGUACUCGAAGAGGAGUGAUAGGUAACUAUUACUCAAAAUUGAGGUGGUAACACGCAAAAGCGUCCUCAAG
RNAcentral lists this non-coding RNA (244 nucleotides) under Vagococcus penaei. RNAcentral describes it as "T-box sequence". It matches the Rfam family "T-box leader". From Rfam's summary of the family: Uncharged tRNA acts as the effector for transcription antitermination of genes in the T-box leader family. T-boxes are found upstream of many aminoacyl-tRNA synthetase genes and some amino acid biosynthetic genes usually in Gram-positive bacteria. The record is from RNAcentral. Lineage: Bacteria; Bacillati; Bacillota; Bacilli; Lactobacillales; Enterococcaceae.